CGGGACGGGUGAGUAACGCGUGGGUAACCUACCCUGUACACACGGAUAACAUACGAAAGGUAUGCUAAUACGGGAUAAUAUAUUUGAGAAGGCAUCUCUUGAAUAUCAAAGGUGAGCCAGUACAGGAUGGACCCGCGUCUGAUUAGCUAGUUGGUAAGGUAACGGCUUAUCAAGGCGACGAUCAGUAGCCGACCUGAGAGGGUGAUCGGCCACAUUGGAACUGAGACACGGUCCAA
RNAcentral lists this ribosomal RNA (236 nucleotides) under uncultured bacterium. Its description in RNAcentral is "partial 16S ribosomal RNA". It matches the Rfam family "Bacterial small subunit ribosomal RNA", at positions 100 to 334 of the family's 1533-position model. The record is from RNAcentral.